CCACACCCCAUUGCCUUUUGCUACAGAUCAUCAUCAAUUUCAAGCUACUGCUUUUUGCCUCUCUCUUUCUUUCUCUUCAAUUAAUUAUUAGGGUUUAUUUUCUCCUUUUAAGGGCUCAUCUCCAGUAACUUCUUGAAGCUAUCUUGCUAACUUCUUAAUAAUUUCAUGACCUAUGAGGAAACAAAGCAACUGCAUAUACUGAACUUAUAAAGAGCUAGCUAGCACCCACACUAAGGAAAGG
This 241-nucleotide long non-coding RNA is filed under the name Panax ginseng (ginseng). RNAcentral's name for it is "long non-coding RNA (PGIN_LNC016931)". The record is from RNAcentral. Lineage: Eukaryota; Viridiplantae; Streptophyta; Magnoliopsida; Apiales; Araliaceae.